UGUUGUCCGACUCUGUUGCCUCCGGGGCGACCCUGCCUUCGGGCGGGGGCUCCGGGUGGACACUUCAAACUCUUGCGUAACUUUGCAGUCUGAGUAAACUUAAUUAAUAAAUUAAAACUUUUAACAACGGAUCUCUUGGUUCUGGCAUCGAUGAAGAACGCAACGAAAUGCGAUAAGUAAUGUGAAUUGCAGAAUUCAGUGAAUCAUCGAAUCUUUGAACGCACAUUGCGCCCCCUGGUAUUCCGGGGGGCAUGCCUGUUCGAGCGUCAUUUCACCACUCAAGCCUCGCUUGGUAUUGGGCAACGCGGUCCGCCGCGUGCCUCAAAUCGACCGGCUGGGUCUUCUGUCCCCUAAGCGUUGUGGAAACUAUUCGCUAAAGGGUGUUCGGGAGGCUACGCCGUAAAACAACCCCAUUUCUAAGGUUGACCUCGGAUCAGGUAGGGAUACCCGCUGAACUUAAGCAUAUC
Molecule: ribosomal RNA, 467 nt
Filed under: Cladosporium sp. WLM115
Lineage: Eukaryota; Fungi; Ascomycota; Dothideomycetes; Cladosporiales; Cladosporiaceae
Description: eukaryotic LSU rRNA
Rfam family: 5.8S ribosomal RNA (bases 116-269)
Source: RNAcentral